This 465-nucleotide ribosomal RNA is filed under the name Vreelandella stevensii. RNAcentral describes it as "partial 16S ribosomal RNA". It matches the Rfam family "Bacterial small subunit ribosomal RNA", at positions 338 to 795 of the family's 1533-position model. Lineage: Bacteria; Pseudomonadati; Pseudomonadota; Gammaproteobacteria; Oceanospirillales; Halomonadaceae. The record is from RNAcentral.
CCUACGGGAGGCAGUAGUGGGGAAUAUUGGACAAUGGGGGCAACCCUGAUCCAGCCAUGCCGCGUGUGUGAAGAAGGCCCUCGGGUUGUAAAGCACUUUCAGUGAGGAAGAACGCCUGGUGGUUAAUACCCAUCAGGAAAGACAUCACUCACAGAAGAAGCACCGGCUAACUCCGUGCCAGCAGCCGCGGUAAUACGGAGGGUGCGAGCGUUAAUCGGAAUUACUGGGCGUAAAGCGCGCGUAGGUGGCUUGAUAAGCCGGUUGUGAAAGCCCCGGGCUCAACCUGGGAACGGCAUCCGGAACUGUCAAGCUAGAGUGCAGGAGAGGAAGGUAGAAUUCCCGGUGUAGCGGUGAAAUGCGUAGAGAUCGGGAGGAAUACCAGUGGCGAAGGCGGCCUUCUGGACUGACACUGACACUGAGGUGCGAAAGCGUGGGUAGCAAACAGGAUUAGAUACCCCAGUAGUC